Molecule: ribosomal RNA, 262 nt
Filed under: uncultured bacterium
Lineage: Bacteria
Description: partial 16S ribosomal RNA
Rfam family: Bacterial small subunit ribosomal RNA
Source: RNAcentral
GACGAACCACACGAACGUUAUUCGGAAUUACUGGGCUUAAAGGGUGCGUAGGCGGCGCAGAAAGUUGGGUGUGAAAUCCCUCGGCUCAACCGAGGAACUGCGCCCAAAACUACUGUGCUUGAGGAAGAUAGAGGUAAGCGGAACUUACGGUGGAGCGGUGAAAUGCGUUGAUAUCGUAAGGAACACCUGUGGCGAAAGCGGCUUACUGGGUCUUUUCUGACGCUGAUGCACGAAAGCCAGGGGAGACAAACCGGGGAGUUAG